GAUGAAGAACGUAGCGAAUGCGAUAAGUAAUGUGAAUUGCAGAAUUCAGUGAAUCAUCGAAUCUUUGAACGCAUCUUGCGCUCCUUGGUAUUCUGAGGAGCAUGCCUGUUUGAGUGUCAUUAAAUUCUCAACUACACUGACUUUGAAUUGGUGUGGCUUGGAUUUGGGGGGAAAAUUGUUGUGGGCUUUUUGUAUAGUCUGCUCCCCUGAAAUUGAUUAGCGGUACCUUUGUGGAACUGUCUACAGGUGUGAUAAUUAUCUACAUCUUAGACAUCUGCUGGAAUGCUGCUUUCUAAACCUUACUUGUAUUGACAAUCUUGACCUCAAAUCAGGUAGGACUACCCGCUGAACUUAAGCAUAUCAAUAAGCGGAGGA
RNAcentral lists this unclassified non-coding RNA (375 nucleotides) under soil metagenome. RNAcentral's name for it is "partial contains 5.8S ribosomal RNA, internal transcribed spacer 2, and large subunit ribosomal RNA". The stretch from base 1 to 119 matches the Rfam family "5.8S ribosomal RNA", at positions 35 to 154 of the family's 154-position model. The record is from RNAcentral.